Molecule: non-coding RNA, 135 nt
Organism: Triticum aestivum (bread wheat)
Lineage: Eukaryota; Viridiplantae; Streptophyta; Magnoliopsida; Poales; Poaceae
Source: Rfam
AAAGUACUCCCUCCGUCCCAAAAUUCUUGUCUUAGAUUUGUCUAGAUACGGAUGUAUCAAGUCACAUUUGAGUAUUAGAUACAUCCGUAUCUAGACAAAUCUAAGACAAGAAAUUUGGGACAGAGGGAGUAGUUG